Molecule: long non-coding RNA, 708 nt
Organism: Leopardus geoffroyi (Geoffroy's cat)
Lineage: Eukaryota; Metazoa; Chordata; Mammalia; Carnivora; Felidae
Exons: 2
Source: RefSeq, a predicted model, not a curated record
CACACCCCGCCGCGGCCGGCUCGCCGCCCUCCCUUUCCUCUUCCGUCUGGCCUCCCCGCCCUCGGUCCACCCCCUCGGCGCGUUCGCCCACCCCGCCCAGCCCGGAUCUCUGUCAGCGGCCGGAAGGGAAACACGAAGCCAGCGCGGCCGCGGGGGGAGUCCGAAUGAUGAAUUGAAAUGAAAUGAAAUGUUGGAGAGAUGCAACAUUCCUGACUUUGAAGAUGAAGGGAAGUGGGCCUUGAGUCAAGAAAUGUGGGUGGUCUCCAGAAGAUGGAAAAGACAAGGAAACAAUCUCCCUUUCAGCCUCCAGAAAAGAACCCAGCCAGCCCUGUUGACAUCUUGAUUUAGCCCAAUGAAACCCAUGUUGGACUACUGACUUACAAAACUGUAAAACGAUGUUUGUUAAAUUUAGUUUUAAGCCAUAAAUUUGUGGUAAUUUGUUUCAGCAGCAAUAGAAAACUAAUAGAAGUGAUGUGCAGAUCUAGAGAAUAGCAUAUGCAAAACUCCUGAUACAAAAUUCCUUGCUUCUUUCUAGGAACAGAAAUAAAGCCAGUAUGACUAGAACAUAGUUGGGAGAGAAGGCCCAUGCCAGACUUAACAGAGCACUGCAAACAUUGUUAAGAUUUUGGCCUAGAUCCUAAAAGCAAUACAAAGCAUUUAAGUGUGUAAGCAACACAAUCAGGUUUUUAUUAAAAUAUUCAGACUAGA